GGAUUAGAUACCCUGGUAGUCCACGCCGUAAACGAUGUGCACUGGAUUCAGGAGGUUUUGAUGCCCUCUGGGUCGUAGCGAAAGCGUUAAGUGCACCGCCUGGGGAGUACGGUCGCAAGGCUAAAACUCAAAGGAAUUGACGGGGGCUCACACAAGCGGUGGAGCAUGUGGCUUAAUUCGAAGCAACGCGAAGAACCUUAUCCUGGGUUUGACAUGUAUGGAUUAAGCCCCCGAAAGGGGGCCCACACUCUUUGAGUGGAACAUACACAGGUGCUGCAUGGCUGUCGUCAGCUCGUGCUG
This 300-nucleotide ribosomal RNA is filed under the name uncultured bacterium. RNAcentral describes it as "bacterial SSU rRNA". It matches the Rfam family "Bacterial small subunit ribosomal RNA", at positions 775 to 1067 of the family's 1533-position model. The record is from RNAcentral.